UCAAAAUCUGGAACCCAUAGUUCCCAAUGCGCUUAGUCAAAUAUCCUUAAAUGCCGCUCUUCAUUCAAUUUUCAGAAUUUGAAGUCUAUAUCCUUAAUUAUGGGCACGUUGCCAACCCUUCGUUCCCUCCCAUCACAGAUGCGUCUCUUUGUAGCUUGUACGGUUGUACCCUCGCUCGCUAUAAAGCCCAUCGUUUGGUAGUACUAGGUUCAACUCGGUACUGCUUUCGCUGCCUUCAACAUCUAUCAGCGUAUGACGGUGUUGUCGGCUUCAACUACGCCCAAAUGGUGUCGCGCCCUUCAACCACCAAGUGCAUCCAUCAGCAUUUUGAUGGAGAUUGUCCGGAAAGAGAGGUACAAUGGCUUCGGAGCUACCGCCGUUCCCCUAUUUUCAAUCUCAUUUUAUCAGUUCUUGAUUCUACCCCCUCCUUCUCUGGACGUAUUCUCUUGCUCAAAAUUUAGUUAUUUUAUCCAUAGUUAUUUGUUUGAUUAUAAGGAUCGUACAAGAUGUUUCUACCACCAUAGCUCCAUCGCUCCUCUCUGUCCCCCCUCUUCACCAAUAGUUUUCUUCCCCACAUAUUAUCUUGGCUUCAAAAAUCCCCGUUGCUUGAUUUGAGUCUUAGGUAAAUCUUGUCACUUAUUUUCUAAUUAGUAUAGGGUUCAGAAUUGUAAUAUUUUUGUUGUUUAUCAUUGAUUGAAUUUAUCUAUUAUUUUGAGAUUGUUCUACUUAUUUAGGGUCGUAAUCCACAUUCAGUUUGUUAAAAUUUCCCUAACAUUACUUGGUAAAGAAAAAAACAACCCUUUGUUUUCCUUUCAUAUUCAUGAAAAAAAUAUUGUUCCAGAUGGUAUUUCAUGAACUUUGAGUGCAAACCCACUUCAAAUAUUACAGUUAUAUGGUCUUCUGUGUACUUUGUUUUUCCUGUGAAUUUUAAGGGUUUAAUCGCGUGUUAAAAUGAGUCUUUAUGCAGAAUUUGUCGGAUGGUUAUGCAUAUGAAGUUAUUAAUAUUAAACUUGAGAAAAUGACUAGGUGAAGACUUUGUGAAUACUCCAAUGGAAAAUAAGUAUGUUCUUGCAAAUUCUGAGGCUUAAAUAUUAAGGUAUGUAAUUAUUUCUCUUGCUAAACCACGAAGAUACUCAAGACUUAAUCCACCUUCUUGUUUCUCUUUCGUAAGAUCGGUCAUUUGUGGCAAGUAUCAUAGCUAUCUCUAAGAUAGAUAAUACCAUCUGGAAUAAGUCCAGGGAGAGUUGAAAUAAGUGGAUCAAACCAUGAAUCAUAAGUGCUAAUUUCUAUCUCAUUCAUACAGUUGGCUUCAUGCACAGCUCUUACAUACCCGUUCAUCAAGUAAGUACCAACAGUAUGUGGAUGAGCUUUAAAACUGAAUAUCACAAUUUUGAUUUUGAAUAUGUUGCUAAACUUACUAUGAUUAUAAUUAUUAUUGUUCAAAAAAUCAGAAUGGGAUAAUCAGGUAACCAACAGAGUUGAUGCAAGAAAUGUAAAAUUACCUGCUCAUUCCUACCUUUUAACAACUCAUUAUCUGUUUGGUUCAGAUUCUUUAUGUUGCAAUAAGCACUUUGAAAAGACACAUCCAAACAUUCCUCAUUUCAAAUUUCUGUUAUAUAGUGUUCGAUAUUGACGUUGGAGGUUGCUUAGUUCGAAUUUGAAGCCACAUCCAACUUGAUUUUCCUUAACGAAAAAUCUACUUCAAUUGAUUGUUUUAGCAAUUUAUGAAGCUACCAUGAUGGUUUAGUUAGUGAAGUUAGAUGUUCUAGGGGGAUUGCAAAUAAUGAUUAAUUUUAAUGAAAUUUUGAUAGUAUAGUUUUUGUUUCUUUUAUGAGCUUAAUUUGAGUCUUUAUUGCUCUUUCAAAAUUUAUGCCACUGGAUAAUAUGGAUUACAAGCUAUUUACCUAUUUUAUGGGAUUAAGUUUCAUCAAAAAGAAACAUGAAGGAUGGACAAUAUAAGCCUUUAGUUAUGCUCUAGGAGAUUGGAAAAGGGCAACAGAGUUUUAGUUUUAAUUAAGUAAUUGCUUACGUAUUUGUGUUCAGGUGUUGGUUUUUUUGACACAAGUGAAACCCUCUAAGGCAAGGCUUAAAACUUAGCACCUCAAAUUUAAUUAUAUGUGUUUCUGUCUAAUUUUCAAAUUCCUUUUAAUGGGUGAUAAGUUUCAAAAAUUGCAAAAGUCACCCUUGAAGUUCAUUUUGUUGUGCAGGGGGUAUUAGCGGAAGAGGCUGAAAACAUUGCUUCAAAGUAUAACCGUGUUUUAUUGCAAAAGUUUGUUUCAUAUUGAUGGUGUUGUUGCUUCUGAAAUCUUUUGGCUGGUUAUAAUUAAAAAGCAUUAUAGCAAAUUGGGUAGACACGAAGAUUAGAAGGUAAAACUUGUAAAAGAUGGUCCUAGCAGAGCAUAUCUUACAUAUACACCACGAAAUGCCUACCAAACGGUUUAUAUCCAUCAGAUAUGUUCACCUAUGGUUGCUGAAAUCUUUAUCUUUAUUUUUUGGUAGUUUCAUUCUCACUGGCCUUAAUUGUGAUUGUGUGUACGAGACUUAGACUGCAUGUAUGAUUUUUCUAUUUUUUUAGGAUAAUCAAGAAUACAAUAACUUUUGGAAACAUUGAUUUCAUGACAACUAUAACAGUACCAGCCUAAUUUUAUUGGGGUUUUAAUCAAAACCUUAAUCAUUGAGAUUCUCCA
Lactuca sativa (garden lettuce) is the source of this 2687-nucleotide long non-coding RNA. RefSeq lists it as uncharacterized. NCBI's taxonomy places the organism in Eukaryota, Viridiplantae, Streptophyta, Magnoliopsida, Asterales, Asteraceae. The record is from RefSeq and is a predicted model, not a curated record.